Molecule: ribosomal RNA, 511 nt
Filed under: uncultured bacterium
Lineage: Bacteria
Description: partial 16S ribosomal RNA
Source: RNAcentral
GGAGUUAGCCGGUGCUUCUUCUGCGAGUAACGUCACAGAUGUAAGGUAUUAACUUACACCCUUUCCUCCUCGCUGAAAGUGCUUUACAACCCGAAGGCCUUCUUCACACACGCGGCAUGGCUGCAUCAGGGUUUCCCCCAUUGUGCAAUAUUCCCCACUGCUGCCUCCCGUAGGAGUCUGGGCCGUGUCUCAGUCCCAGUGUGGCUGAUCAUCCUCUCAGACCAGCUAGGGAUCGUCGCCUAGGUGAGCCUUUACCUCACCUACUAGCUAAUCCCACCUGGGCUUAUCCAUCAGCGCAAGGCCCGAAGGUCCCCUGCUUUCCCCCGUAGGGCGUAUGCGGUAUUAGCAGUCGUUUCCAACUGUUAUCCCCCACAAAUGGUCAAAUUCCCAGGCAUUACUCACCCGUCCGCCGCUCGUCAUCUUCAAAAGCAAGCUUUUGAAAUGUUACCGCUCGACUUGCAUGUGUUAGGCCUGCCGCCAGCGUUCAAUCUGAGCCAUAAUCAAACUCUGA